GACGAACGCUGGCGGCGUGCUUAACACAUGCAAGUCGAACGGAAAGGCCCUGCUUUUGUGGUGUGCUCGGGUGGCGAAAGGGUGGGUCGCACGUGUGUAACCUGCCCUUGACUUUGGGAUAACGUCAGGAAACUGGGGCUACUACCGGUUAGGAGCUCCUGCUCCAUGGUGGGGGGUGGGUGGUUUCGGCGGUUGGGGAUGGACUUGCGGCUUAUCAGCUUGUUGGUGGGGUUGUGGGUUACCAAGGCUUUGACGGGUAGGCGGCCUGAGAGGUGGGCCGGCGACAUGGGGCCUGAGAUUCCGCCCAGACGCAUACGGGAGGAAUCAGCGGGGAAUGUUGCACUAUGGGCGGAAGCCUGAGGGAGCAACGCCGGGUGCGGGAUGACGGCCUUCUGGUGGUAACCAGCAUGCGCCUGUGUUGAAGCGUGAGUGACGGUAAUGGGUAAAGAAGCACCGGCUAACUACGUG
This 468-nucleotide ribosomal RNA is filed under the name uncultured bacterium. RNAcentral describes it as "partial 16S ribosomal RNA". It matches the Rfam family "Bacterial small subunit ribosomal RNA", at positions 28 to 507 of the family's 1533-position model. The record is from RNAcentral.